AGAGUUUGAUCAUGGCUCAGAUUGAACGCUGGCGGCAUGCCUUACACAUGCAAGUCGAACGGCAGCACGGGGGCAACCCUGGUGGCGAGUGGCGAACGGGUGAGUAAUACAUCGGAACGUGUCCUGUAGUGGGGGAUAGCCCGGCGAAAGCCGGAUUAAUACCGCAUACGCUCUACGGAGGAAAGGGGGGGAUCUUAGGACCUCCCGCUAGAGGGGCGGCCGAUGGCAGAUUAGCUAGUUGGUGGGGUAAAGGCCUACCAAGGCGACGAUCUGUAGCUGGUCUGAGAGGACGACCAGCCACACUGGGACUGAGACACGGCCCAGACUCCUACGGGAGGCAGCAGUGGGGAAUUUUGGACAAUGGGCGAAAGCCUGAUCCAGCAAUGCCGCGUGUGUGAAGAAGGCCUUCGGGUUGUAAAGCACUUUUGUCCGGAAAGAAAUCCUCUGCCCUAAUAUGGCGGGGGGAUGACGGUACCGGAAGAAUAAGCACCGGCUAACUACGUGCCAGCAGCCGCGGUAAUACGUAGGGUGCAAGCGUUAAUCGGAAUUACUGGGCGUAAAGCGUGCGCAGGCGGUUCGCUAAGACAGAUGUGAAAUCCCCGGGCUUAACCUGGGAACUGCAUUUGUGACUGGCGGGCUAGAGUAUGGCAGAGGGGGGUAGAAUUCCACGUAGCAGUGAAAUGCGUAGAGAUGUGGAGGAAUACCGAUGGCGAAGGCAGCCCCCUGGGCCAAUACUGACGCUCAUGCACGAAAGCGUGGGGAGCAAACAGGAUUAGAUACCCUAGUAGUCC
This 791-nucleotide ribosomal RNA is filed under the name uncultured bacterium. RNAcentral's name for it is "bacterial SSU rRNA". It matches the Rfam family "Bacterial small subunit ribosomal RNA", at positions 8 to 796 of the family's 1533-position model. The record is from RNAcentral.